GAGAGAGAGAGAGAGAGAGAGCGCGUGCAGGAGAGAGAGAAAAAAAGAGGAGAUACUUGAACUCGCCAAAGAUGUGAACAAAAACUCUUCAGGGACCAGAGGGAUGGCUCAGCAGGUAUCCACACUCAUCAAGAUCUGCAAACACCGGAACGUUUGCUGACACCAAGUCUUGUCUGCCUGUGGCCCUCCAGAAUUCUGAACAGACUUGAGAAGUAUGGGCAGAGUCCACCAUUAACUCAAAGAAAAAGAAAAAAGCCACUGCGAAAGCUGCUGGCUGUUCUUAUUAGCUUGCAUAUGUAGAAUGUUUUCAAUUAAAUAAGCACAGAUGUGUUUCCCAAAAGGAAACGACAGUUAACUGGGUGGAGGAAGCGAACACUUGGUCACAGAACUAUCUCAGAGUUUGCCCUCCACAAGAACAACACAAGAAGGGCUUCUUUUCUGCUAGGACCUAUGGCUUAUCAUGAAAGAUCUGUCAUCGUGUGGACAGGCCCGUUUGGUUCUGAAGGAAAUCAAAGACUCUGUUUCAGAUUACCCAGACCAAAUUCUAAAUCAGUGGCAGACAGAAGAGCCCCAGAAGGAUCCUUGAGAGAUCCUGUCAGCCAGUAAGGCUAGUAGUCUCCCCAGACAUCUUGUUCUGGGGAUCCCAUCUCUGCCUCCUCAAGCUGGAAUUACUAGAAGGCUGCCAUGCUCACCU
Alexandromys fortis (reed vole) is the source of this 694-nucleotide long non-coding RNA. RefSeq lists it as uncharacterized. The record is from RefSeq and is a predicted model, not a curated record. The transcript has 3 exons. NCBI's taxonomy places the organism in Eukaryota, Metazoa, Chordata, Mammalia, Rodentia, Cricetidae.